Molecule: transfer RNA, 74 nt
Filed under: Prunus dulcis (almond)
Lineage: Eukaryota; Viridiplantae; Streptophyta; Magnoliopsida; Rosales; Rosaceae
Description: tRNA-Pro
Source: RNAcentral
AGGAGUUUUUAAAAUGCGAGAUCUAAAAACAUAUCUCUCCGUGGCACCGGUAGUAAGUGCUUUAUGGUUCGGGU